GGACCCGCACAAGCGGUGGAGCAUGUGGUUUAAUUCGAUGAUACGCGAGGAACCUUACCAGGGCUUAAAUGUAAGUUGCAUUAGUUAGAGAUAGCUAUUUCUUCGGACUACUUACAAGGUGCUGCAUGGUUGUCGUCAGCUCGUGCCGUGAGGUGUCAGGUUAAGUCCUAUAACGAGCGCAACCCCUGUUGUUAGUUGCCAUCGAGUCAUGUCGGGAAACUCUAACAAGACUGCCGGUGCAAACCGUGAGGAAGGUGGGGAUGACGUCAAAUCAUCACGGCCCUUACGUCCUGGCUACACACGUGCUACAAUGCUACGGCAAAGGGGCAGCAAACUCGCGAGAGCUAGCA
Molecule: ribosomal RNA, 350 nt
Filed under: uncultured bacterium
Lineage: Bacteria
Description: bacterial SSU rRNA
Rfam family: Bacterial small subunit ribosomal RNA
Source: RNAcentral